This 548-nucleotide ribosomal RNA is filed under the name uncultured Glomus. RNAcentral's name for it is "SSU rRNA". It matches the Rfam family "Eukaryotic small subunit ribosomal RNA", at positions 548 to 1098 of the family's 1831-position model. Lineage: Eukaryota; Fungi; Glomeromycota; Glomeromycetes; Glomerales; Glomeraceae. The record is from RNAcentral.
UUGGAGGGCAAGUCUGGUGCCAGCAGCCGCGGUAAUUCCAGCUCCAAUAGCGUAUAUUAAAGUUGUUGCAGUUAAAAAGCUCGUAGUUGAAUUUCGGGAUCAAUUUAUUGGUCGUGCUAUUGUACGUACUGGUAUUAUUGAUUCCUACCUUCUGACGAACCAUGAUGUCAUUAAUUUGGUGUCUUGGGGAAUCAGGACUGUUACUUUGAAAAAAUUAGAGUGUUUAAAGCAGGCUCACGCUUGAAUACAUUAGCAUGGAAUAACGAAAUAGGACGUUUGAUUCUAUUUUGUUGGUUUCUAGGAUCGACGUAAUGAUUAAUAGGGAUAGUUGGGGGCAUUAGUAUUCAAUUGUCAGAGGUGAAAUUCUUGGAUUUAUUGAAGACUAACUACUGCGAAAGCAUUUGCCAAGGAUGUUUUCAUUAAUCAAGAACGAAAGUUAGGGGAUCGAAGACGAUCAGAUACCGUCGUAGUCUUAACCAUAAACUAUGCCGACUAGGGAUCGGAUGAUGUUGAUUUUUUAAUGACUCAUUCGGCGCCUUACGGGAAAC